CUCUGUCACCCAGGCUGGAGUGCAGUGGUGUAAUCUCGGCUCACUGCAACCUCUACCUCCUGGAUUCAAGUGAUUCUCCUGCCUCAGCCUCCUAAGUAGCUGCUAUUACAGGUGUCUGCUGCCAUGCUCAGCUAGUUUUUGUGUGUGUGUGUAUUUUUAGUAGAGACGGGGUUUCACCAUGUUGGCCAGGCUGGUCUCGGACUCCUGACCUCAGGUGAUCCACCUGCCUCAGCCUCCCAAAGUGCCUGUAUUACAGGUGUGAGCCACCAUGCCCAGCCUCUCAGCUACUUCUGGUCAGCCCAGCAGCAUGGCGUCAGGUAUUUCCCGGCUGGUGCUGGUGGAUACAAGGUCCACAGCCACCAUUCCCGUGGUGUAUAGAUGGAUCAUCGCUCUUCUUUUGCUAUCUGGAAAAAGUCUCUUUCAAAAAUCUGUUAAAUUAACUUAUUUUUGGCCUGAGGCUGCCUCCAUACCUUGAGUUUCUGUGUCAGGAGCCACAACCUAACUCAGUAGGUAAACAAACCGAAAGCCUAAUUUAGGAGCAUAUUUUUGUAACAAAUAGCUGUGUCACAGCCAGUCAUAGCAACCGAACUUCCGCUAAUCACAGGCUACCCACUGAUCAGACCAUGUCCAAAAAAGGCAGAUGCCGGAGUUGUAACCAAUCAAGCUAUUUCUGUAGGGUACUUCCAGUUUUCUGUCUAUAAAUAAUCCCUGCCCAGGGAGCUCUCUGAACUUCCACUUGUUCUGGGUGUUGCCUGAUUCAUGAAUCAUUCUUUGCACAAUUAAACUCUGUUCAAUUUAAUUUGUCUAAAGUUUUUUUUCUUUCAACAGAACGAUGUGUACUUGAAAACAGUACACUCUUGCACAGCUGUCCCUGGAGCUUCCCCGUGGAGCUGUUAAACUUGCCCUCCGCUGGCUGUUUUCCACAAAGUAAUAUGGUUACAUAGAUUCACGGCUCAUGGCAAUGUUUCAUUAAGACAGUUCUUGAUGGCCGCUCCACACCUUUCUCACCACAUCUCACAGGCUGCCCUGCUGAGCCAGGUCUCCCUGGAACCCGGGGCUCCUGCGCAGGCCCCCAUUUUGCUCCAGAACACCCAGGAAGGCGGGGCUUGGGCUGGAAUGGGGACACCGAUUACCCUCUGUUCAGGCCUUUGGUGCCAGCUGAGGUCGAUACUGGUGCCAGGAUCGAGACUGUGCGCAUCCCAUCGAGAGCGGGCAGAUGUGGGGGCGCACUGGACCGGGCCUCCCAGGCUGACACCCAUUCACAGCAGCCUGAGCCUAAUCCGCCACUGCUCGCCUUCCUCCGACGUCUCCACCUAAACCAUCCUUCUGCACAUUGUGACCCAUCACUCCGCCCUUUGUCCACACAUCUCCUUCCCCACACCCACAACGCGGUGGUCCCUGCCCCACAAUGCAACGGAAACCUUGCGGAGUGCUAGGCGGAAGCUGCGAGGCCUGUGUAGACACUGCCUCCGCAGGGCUGGCGCACUCCUCCGAGGGCCGACUGAGGGGUGGGUUUUUUAAGUUGCAAAAUAAAAGUUAUCGCCUGUGGGCCCUGAAGGCCUCUUUUCCACUGGAUGACAGGAAUGUGUUUGUUCAGAGAUUGUAGUCUCCCUGAACUGGAAGGGACUUUAGAAACGGUCUAUUACAACACUCUCCUCCUACAUAGAGUUGGAGAAAUUUCACCCAUGGCUGGGCAGAAUCAGGGAGGCUUACCCUUUGGUACUACAGUUUUUGGCAUUACUGCAGGAACAUAGUGUCCCAGCCAUAAUGUUAGGUAGUUAGACAUUAGCAGCUGGGAGGGGGCGAGAGAGGAGGGCAGAAGGGCUAUCACUAAGACAGGCCCUGGCCCACCUAAGUUCAGCCCCCAAGACCACCCUAACUCCACCCUGAUAGAUGCAGCUUGUGGUAAAGUCUGUGGCCAGCACAUCCUGGAGAAAGAAGAACUGGGCACAGAUAAAAAAUCCCCUUACGUGGCGCAUGCCCAGUCCAUCUAGGCCAUAAACCCGGGUAACCUCAUCCUCAUUAUACAGUCAUUAUAAUAAAAUUUACAUGUGGUUUUGCCCCUCUGAGUGGGCUUUCCUUAACAAAGUGUAAGUAAAGACGUGCAGUUUAAGUUCAGUGAUAUAAGCAUAAACUGCUAAUCAAAUGACACAAUCCUGUCACUCAAACACAGCCCAAGCCUCAACUCCUCCCCACAAACUGCAUAAACGCACCCUGAGCUCUAUAAAGAGGGGCUGAUUUCACUUCGCAGAGGUUACCCCACUCUCCCUCUGAGAGUGCAUUACUGUGCUUCAGAAAGCCUUGUUUUGAGCUUGCAUUUCGGGGUUAGUUCGCAAUUCUUUGCUCACUAUCACGAGAACCAAGACUGCUGGUCCAGAGGUCCGGCUUUGUUGGAUCUCCUUGGUUAAAGGAUCCAUCUCAAGGCAGGAUUCCAGGUAACAAUACCAUCUUGGCAGUUGCCAAUUUUCCUGUGCACAUAUGGGGAUCUAUUUUGUUUCCAUAAAAACACAAAACAAGCUUGAUUUAUCAUAUAAGCAAUUCCAAAGCAUUCUUUUAAGCAAGCUGUUCAUGUAAGUUGAUACAAAUGAAAGUUGAGUACACUCAGUAACUGCUGGCUGUAUUAGAGCUAUCUACUCAUAUUUAGAAUCAUCAAAUUUAGGGAAAACAAAAAAAGUAGGUGUUUCAGAAUGGCCCCAUGCUGCUCAGAAAGGUUUGAUCUAAAUGUAGGAAAGCCACUUUACAUGGGAGAGACCUGAAUUUUUUUAGGCCUGAGUUGAUGUCAUUGCGGACAAUGAUAUGGUGGCAACUGGAUUCAUAAAUCCUCUAAAGCCGAAAGCACUUGUAGCAAGGUUACUCUGGGAAUAACAUGUCCAUGGGGAACUUUGGUUCUCCCCACGCUGGAUUAGAAGAGUUGUUUGGAAUUUUCACAAAGACCAGGGUCAGCAUCAGAUUAAACUGGUGAUCAGAAUUCUGAAGGCUCAUAUGAAUAGCAGCUGGGUGUGGAAAAAGUCACCAUAUGCUGACAUGUGCUGGAACAUCUUUCUACGCUCCACAUUUUACUUAGACUUGUCUGGUCAAGAUAUUUCCGAUUGCAAGGCGUUUUUUUCCAAGUUGUCACAUGUUUGUGAUUUGCUUUCAUAAGGGAGUUGAUGGCAUUAACUAGGUAGAGACAGAAGAAUAUUGGGGGUUGAGAGAUUAAAAACUACAUAUUGGCUGCAAUGUACACUACUCCAGUGACAGGUGCACUAAAGUCUCAGACUUCACCCCUCUAGUUCAUCCACGUAACCAAAAACUACUUGUACCCCCAAAGCUAAUGCAAUUUUUAAAUACUUAUUUAAAAACAAGAAUGUGGGAACCAUCCUACUGUGUUAGCCCUCUGGACCAUCCAGCCUGGCAUUUUUUUAUUGACAGAAAUAUCAAAGGAUAGAUCAUGAAAAAACAUCAUUGCUUUUCUUGACUAACCUGAAUUUCAGUAGAGCGUGACUUCCCUUAGCAGUAGAUUUUUGUUUUUUUGAGACAAGGUCUUCCUCUGUUGCCCAGGCUGGAGUGAAGUGGUGUGAUCAUAGCUCACUGUAGCCUCAACUCCCCGGGCUCAGUUGAUCCUCCUGCCUCAGCCUUGCAAGCAGCUGGGAUUAUGGGCAUGAGCCACCAUGCCCAGCUAAUUGUUUAAUUUUGUGUUGAGACGGGGUCUCACUAUGCUGCCCAGGCUGGCCUCAAACUCCUGGACUCAAGUGAUCCUCCCACCUCCCAUUCCCAAAGUUCUGUGAUUACAGGUGUGGCCAUCGCACCCGUCCCCUUAGUAGUAUUUUAAUGUUUCCAUUAUUCCUUGGAACCCUUUUAUAUCUUGUUAACUUUUGUGAUAUUUAUUUGCUGUGAUCUGAAUGUUGGCGUCCCCCAUAUGUUGGCACCUACAUAUGUGACAGUAUUAAGAGUAGUGGUGUGGGAGGUGAUUAGGUCAUGAGGGUGGAGCCCUCUUGAAUGGGAUUAAUGCCUCUUUUAUAGAGAUGUGAAGGAGCCUCCCAUUCCCUUCUUCCAUGUGGGGAUACAGCAACCAGGCACCCUCUAUAAACAGGAAAUAGGCCCUCACCACACAUAGAAUCUACUGGUGACUUGAUCUUGGACUUCCCAGCCUCCAGAAAUGUGAGCCAUAAAUUUUGGUUGUUUAUAAAUUACCCAGUCUAGGGUAUUUUUGUCAUAGCCAUCCAAAUAGAGACAUUAGUGUUCCAUGCUAGAGAAAAGAGUCCUUCAUGUUUUCUACCUAAUUAAUUUCACUUAAGUUUGAAAAUAACGUCCCCUCCUCUAGCUACUUCAGAAUCGGAAAAAGAGAUGUGUGUCCUUCUCUUUCAUCCAAGGUCCUUCUCUAGUCCAAGACCUGUGCCUUAACUGUUUUAGGACAGUUAAGACCUGUCCUAAAACAUGUACUAGACACUGACUAAAACUCAUCUGUAAUGCACAUUGACUUGAUGUAUUUUACAUCUUGCUUUUCCUUUUUUUUCUCUUGACUUUAUAAGCUGCUAACCUGGUUGGUUGUUCUGCCAUUUCUUCCUGGUCUUGACUGUGAUCUAUACAAUUUCAUCCCCUGGUCAUGAACUCUUCCAUCAUCUGAAGUCAUCAUGUCUCCUUGUUUGGCACUGAACUUGUAGGCCAUAUUGGAAUACAGAUCAUCUAGUCUAACCUAGUCACAGGUGUUUUUCUACUUAACAUGCUUGACUUCCUUCACCAAACAUCCUCCCCACCCAAUUAACUUACUCCAGUCUUUUAAACAAAAUGAUAGAUGUAUUUAUCUUAUCCAUGUCACUCAUUAGUUUAUGAACUGCAAUCCUGAAUCCUUUUACAAUUUACCUAACA
RNAcentral lists this long non-coding RNA (4848 nucleotides) under Homo sapiens (human). RNAcentral's name for it is "HSALNT0133259". Lineage: Eukaryota; Metazoa; Chordata; Mammalia; Primates; Hominidae. The record is from RNAcentral.